Molecule: ribosomal RNA, 491 nt
Filed under: uncultured bacterium
Lineage: Bacteria
Description: partial 16S ribosomal RNA
Rfam family: Bacterial small subunit ribosomal RNA
Source: RNAcentral
AGUGAACGCUGGCGGUAGGCCUAACACAUGCAAGUCGAACGGCAGCACAGUAAGAGCUUGCUCUUACGGGUGGCGAGUGGCGGACGGGUGAGGAAUACAUCGGAAUCUACUUUUUCGUGGGGGAUAACGUAGGGAAACUUACGCUAAUACCGCAUACGACCUACGGGUGAAAGCAGGGGAUCUUCGGACCUUGCGCGAUUGAAUGAGCCGAUGUCGGAUUAGCUAGUUGGCGGGGUAAAGGCCCACCAAGGCGACGAUCCGUAGCUGGUCUGAGAGGAUGAUCGGCCAAACUGGAACUGAGAAACGGUCCAGACUCCUACGGGAGGCAGCAGGGGGGAAUUUUGGACAAUGGGCGCAAGCCUGAUCCAGCCAUCCCGGGUGGGUGAAGAAGGCCUUCGGGUUGUAAAGCCCUUUUGUUGGGAAAAAAAAGCAGCAGGUUAAUACCCCGCUGUUCUGACGGUACCCAAAAAAUAAACACCGGCUAACUUCGU